This 229-nucleotide ribosomal RNA is filed under the name uncultured bacterium. RNAcentral's name for it is "partial 16S ribosomal RNA". It matches the Rfam family "Bacterial small subunit ribosomal RNA", at positions 568 to 796 of the family's 1533-position model. The record is from RNAcentral.
UGCGUAGGCGGCCUGUUAAGUCAGUGGUGAAAGGUAUCAGCUUAACUGAUGAGGUGCCAUUGAAACUAACAGGCUUGAGUACAGACGAGGUAGGCGGAAUUUAUGGUGUAGCGGUGAAAUGCAUAGAUACCAUAAAGAACACCGAUAGCGAAGGCAGCUUACUAGGCUGUGACUGACGCUGAGGCACGAAAGCGUGGGGAGCGAACAGGAUUAGAUACCCUGGUAGUCC